AGAGCGAACGCUGGCGGCAGGCUUAACACAUGCAAGUCGAACGCUCGUAGCAAUACGGGAGUGGCAGACGGGUGAGUAACGCGUGGGAACAUACCCUCCGGUUCGGAAUAGCUCAGGGAAACUUGGAUUAAUACCGGAUACGGCUGAGAGGCGAAAGAUUUAUCGCCGGAGGAUUGGCCAGCGUUCGAUUAGCUUGUUGGUGAGGUAACGGCUCACCAAGGCGAUGAUCGAUAGCUGGUCUGAGAGGAUGAUCAGCCACAUUGGGACUGAGACACGGCCCAGACUCCUACGGGAGGCGGCAGUGGGGAAUAUUGGACAAUGGGCGAAAGCCUGAUCCAGCCAUGCCGCGUGAGUGAUGAAGGCCUUAGGGUUGUAAAGCUCUUUCAGUAGGGAAGAUAAUGACGGUACCUACAGAAGAAGCCCGGCUAACUUCGUGCCAGCAGCCGC
RNAcentral lists this ribosomal RNA (447 nucleotides) under uncultured bacterium. Its description in RNAcentral is "SSU rRNA". It matches the Rfam family "Bacterial small subunit ribosomal RNA", at positions 26 to 518 of the family's 1533-position model. The record is from RNAcentral.